UGGGGAAUAUUGCACAAUGGGCGAAAGCCUGAUGCAGCGACGCCGCGUGAAGGAUGAAGUAUUUCGGUAUGUAAACUUCUAUCAGCAGGGAAGAAAAUGACGGUACCUGACUAAGAAGCCCCGGCUAACUACGUGCCAGCAGCCCGCGGUAAUCAUCAUCU
This 161-nucleotide ribosomal RNA is filed under the name uncultured bacterium. Its description in RNAcentral is "partial 16S ribosomal RNA". It matches the Rfam family "Bacterial small subunit ribosomal RNA", at positions 355 to 530 of the family's 1533-position model. The record is from RNAcentral.